Schizosaccharomyces pombe (fission yeast) is the source of this 328-nucleotide non-coding RNA. NCBI's taxonomy places the organism in Eukaryota, Fungi, Ascomycota, Schizosaccharomycetes, Schizosaccharomycetales, Schizosaccharomycetaceae. The record is from the annotation of a GenBank genome assembly.
AAUCACCAACAAUCAUAAAGUUGAGCUGAUAAAAAAGGGACUGACUAUUAAAUAGAGGAGAUUAUAGUAAGAAAUUGAAAUGUCCCUAAUAAUCAAAGAAUAAAGUAUUUUUUAACAUAAAAAAAGUCUGAAAAGAAAACUAAGUUACACCGUCAACGAUUAAGAGAUUAGCUCAUUAACAAGCCACCACAUUAUUCAUUUUUUGGUAUCGUUUAACAGAUCACCAAUAUCCAAGGCGACUUUGUAAACAAACGUGGGAAAGACAAUAUAAGUUUUUAAUGCUUUGCAGGUGGAGCAGGUGACUCUUCUGAAGCCACCAAAUUAUGGA